This 515-nucleotide ribosomal RNA is filed under the name uncultured bacterium. RNAcentral describes it as "partial 16S ribosomal RNA". It matches the Rfam family "Bacterial small subunit ribosomal RNA", at positions 28 to 523 of the family's 1533-position model. The record is from RNAcentral.
GAUGAACGCUGGCGGCGUGCCUAAUACAUGCAAGUCGAGCGAAUGGAUUAAGAGCUUGCUCUUAUGAAGUUAGCGGCGGACGGGUGAGUAACACGUGGGUAACCUGCCCAUAAGACUGGGAUAACUCCGGGAAACCGGGGCUAAUACCGGAUAACAUUUUGAACCGCAUGGUUCGAAAUUGAAAGGCGGCUUCGGCUGUCACUUAUGGAUGGACCCGCGUCGCAUUAGCUAGUUGGUGAGGUAACGGCUCACCAAGGCAACGAUGCGUAGCCGACCUGAGAGGGUGAUCGGCAACACUGGGACUGAGACACGGCCCAGACUCCUACGGGAGGCAGCAGGAGGGAAUCUUCCGCAAUGGACGAAAGUCUGACGGAGCAACGCCGCGUGAGUGAUGAAGGCUUUCGGGUCGUAAAACUCUGUUGUUAGGGAAGAACAAGUGCUAGUUGAAUAAGCUGACACCUUGACGGUACCUAACCAGAAAGCCACGGCUAACUACGUGCCAGCCGCCGCUGUAA